AGUGAACGCUGGCGGUAGGCCUAACACAUGCAAGUCGAACGGCAGCACAGUAAGAGCUUGCUCUUACGGGUGGCGAGUGGCGGACGGGUGAGGAAUACAUCGGAAUCUACUUUUUCGUGGGGGAUAACGUAGGGAAACUUACGCUAAUACCGCAUACGACCUACGGGUGAAAGCAGGGGAUCUUCGGACCUUGCGCGAUUGAAUGAGCCGAUGUCGGAUUAGCUAGUUGGCGGGGUAAAGGCCCACCAAGGCGACGAUCCGUAGCUGGUCUGAGAGGAUGAGCAGCCACACUGGAACUGAGAGACGGUCCAGACUCCUACGGGAGGCAGCAGUGGGGAAUAUUGGACAAUGGGCGCAAGCCUGAUCCAGCCAUACCGCGUGGGUGAAGAAGGCCUUCGGGUUCUAAAGCCCUUUUGUUGGGAAAGAAAAGCAGCAAGUGAAUACCCCGCUGUUCUGACGGUACCCAAAGAAUAAGCACCGGCUAGCUUAGUG
Molecule: ribosomal RNA, 492 nt
Filed under: uncultured bacterium
Lineage: Bacteria
Description: partial 16S ribosomal RNA
Rfam family: Bacterial small subunit ribosomal RNA
Source: RNAcentral